UACACUCCUGCGGGAGGCAGCAGUGGGGAAUUUUGGACAAUGGGCGCAAGCCUGAUCCAGCCAUGCCGCGUGCGGGAAGAAGGCCUUCGGGUUGUAAACCGCUUUUGUCAGGGAAGAAAAGGUUCUGGCUAAUACCUGGGACUCAUGACGGUACCUGAAGAAUAAGCACCGGCUAACUACGUGCCAGCAGCCGCGGUAAUACGUAGGGUGCAAGCGCUAAUCGGAAUUACUGGGCGUAAAGCGUGCGCAGGCGGUUAUGCAAGACAGAGGUGAAAUCCCCGGGCUCAACCUGGGAACUGCCUUUGUGACUGCAUGGCUAGAGUACGGUAGAGGGGGAUGGAAUUCCGCGUGUAGCAGUGAAAUGCGUAGAUAUGCGGAGGAACACCGAUGGCGAAGGCAAUCCCCUGGACCUGUACUGACGCUCAUGCACGAAAGCGUGGGGAGCAAACAGGAUUAGAUACCCGGGUAGUCCCA
RNAcentral lists this ribosomal RNA (474 nucleotides) under uncultured organism. RNAcentral describes it as "partial 16S ribosomal RNA". It matches the Rfam family "Bacterial small subunit ribosomal RNA", at positions 332 to 797 of the family's 1533-position model. The record is from RNAcentral.